UAGGGAAUCUUCCGCAAUGGACGCAAGUCUGACGGAGCAACGCCGCGUGAGUGAAGAAGGAUUUCGGUUCGUAAAACUCUGUUGUUAGAGAAGAACAGCGCAUAGAGUAACUGUUAUGCGUGUGACGGUAUCUAACCAGAAAGCCACGGCUAACUACGUGCCAGCAGCCGCGGUAAUACGUAGGUGGCAAGCGUUGUCCGGAUUUAUUGGGCGUAAAGCGCGCGUAGGCGGUUUUUUAAGUCUGAUGUGAAAGCCCACGGCUCAACCGUGGAGGGUCAUUGGAAACUGGAAAACUUGAGUGCAGAAGGGGAAAGUGGAAUUCCAUGUGUAGCGGUAAAAUGCGCAGGGAUAUGGAGGAACACCAGUGGCGAAGGCGACUUUCUGGUCUGUAACUGACGCUGAUGUGCGAAAGCGUGGGGAUCAAACAGG
Molecule: ribosomal RNA, 429 nt
Filed under: Bacteroidota bacterium
Lineage: Bacteria; Pseudomonadati; Bacteroidota
Description: Bacteroidetes bacterium partial 16S ribosomal RNA
Rfam family: Bacterial small subunit ribosomal RNA
Source: RNAcentral